Molecule: ribosomal RNA, 446 nt
Filed under: uncultured bacterium
Lineage: Bacteria
Description: partial 16S ribosomal RNA
Rfam family: Bacterial small subunit ribosomal RNA
Source: RNAcentral
GCCAGACUCCUACGGGAGGCAGCAGUGGGGAAUAUUGCACAAUGGGGGAAACCCUGAUGCAGCAACGCCGCGUGAGUGAAGAAGUAUUUCGGUAUGUAAAGCUCUAUCAGCAGGGAAGAAGAAAGACGGUACCUGACUAAGAAGCCCCGGCUAACUACGUGCCAGCAGCCGCGGUAAUACGUAGGGGGCAAGCGUUAUCCGGAUUUACUGGGUGUAAAGGGAGCGUAGACGGCGGCGCAAGUCCGGAGUGAAAGCCCACGGCCCAACCGUGGGACUGCUCUGGAAACUGUGCGGCUUGAGUGCGGGAGGGGCAGGCGGAAUUCCUAGUGUAGCGGUGAAAUGCGUAGAUAUUAGGAGGAACACCAGUGGCGAAGGCGGCCUGCUGGACGACAACUGACGGUGAGGCGCGAAAGCGUGGGGAGCAAACAGGAUUAGAUACCCCUGUA